RNAcentral lists this transfer RNA (80 nucleotides) under Octadecabacter arcticus 238. Its description in RNAcentral is "tRNA-Met". It matches the Rfam family "tRNA". Rfam says of the family: Transfer RNA (tRNA) molecules are approximately 80 nucleotides in length. Their secondary structure includes four short double-helical elements and three loops (D, anti-codon, and T loops). Lineage: Bacteria; Pseudomonadati; Pseudomonadota; Alphaproteobacteria; Rhodobacterales; Roseobacteraceae. The record is from RNAcentral.
CGGGAUGGAGCAGCCCGGUAGCUCGUCAGGCUCAUAACCUGAAGGUCGUUGGUUCAAAUCCAACUCCCGCAACCAAGUCU